RNAcentral lists this transfer RNA (87 nucleotides) under Neiella marina. Its description in RNAcentral is "tRNA-Leu". It matches the Rfam family "tRNA". Rfam says of the family: Transfer RNA (tRNA) molecules are approximately 80 nucleotides in length. Their secondary structure includes four short double-helical elements and three loops (D, anti-codon, and T loops). Further hydrogen bonds mediate the characteristic L-shaped molecular structure. tRNAs have two regions of fundamental functional importance: the anti-codon, which is responsible for specific mRNA codon recognition, and the 3' end, to which the tRNAs corresponding amino acid is attached (by aminoacyl-tRNA synthetases). tRNAs cope with the degeneracy of the genetic code in two manners: having more than one tRNA (with a specific anti-codon) for a particular amino acid; and 'wobble' base-pairing, i.e. permitting non-standard base-pairing at the 3rd anti-codon position. The record is from RNAcentral. Lineage: Bacteria; Pseudomonadati; Pseudomonadota; Gammaproteobacteria; Alteromonadales; Echinimonadaceae. RNAcentral also lists the same sequence under 2 other names.
GCCAGAGUGAUGAAAUUGGUAGACAUGACGGAUUCAAAAUCCGUUGCCUUCACGGGCGUGGCGGUUCAAGUCCGCCCUCUGGUACCA